Long non-coding RNA from Pipistrellus kuhlii (Kuhl's pipistrelle), 2760 nucleotides. RefSeq lists it as uncharacterized. The record is from RefSeq and is a predicted model, not a curated record. NCBI's taxonomy places the organism in Eukaryota, Metazoa, Chordata, Mammalia, Chiroptera, Vespertilionidae. The transcript has 2 exons.
GACUUUGCCAAAUGUCCCCUAGGGGGCAAGCUCAUCCCCAGUUGAGAACCACUGUUUUUACCUCCCACUGUCAGAGCAUUUGAACUUUGCUGUUGAAAUGAUUUUCUAGGUUAAAAAAGUUGCUUAUUGGCAUGUUUCAGCAUCUUAUAGAGAAUAGAGAAAAAGAUGGAGCUUAUUAAUAACAUGUUAUUUAAUCCACUUCUAUUAAAAACAAUUUAAUUUAAACAAUGUUUUCCUUAAAAAGCAGGAAAAGAAAAAUAAAAGUUCUGCAAACAUGACAUGUCAAGUUAAUAUAUUUCUCUCACAAACUGCCCAAUAGAUAGAAAUGAUUAGACCAAGAAAUCAGAUGAUUUUUACAAACGCUGCUGCUACAAUUAAAAAAAAAAAAGCACAUUCUGUAAUUAUGGAUUACAUACAAUUAUUUUGUUUGGCAGUAUUCCCCAAAAGUGUAGCCAAGGAAAUUAAUAACCUAGGAAAUACACAGCACCACUAAUAUGUAUCUGGAUAUCUUAUAUCACCUCAUUCCCUUUUAUAAAUGUCUCUGAAUACAGAGCCAGUGUAUUUAAAUUUGUAAUUCAAUACUUUUCUCCCAACUUACCCACAUGAUACUCUAUUACUCAGUGGAACAUUGCAACAUAAAACAAUUCAUCUUUUCAGAAGACAUCAACAGUUAUAUAACCUAAUCAGGUUGAAAGGAUUCUAAAAUGCAGGUUCAUUUUCCCAGGUUGUGGAUGAGAGAAAGUAACACAUAGUUACUGCUACUGCCAACACCAUGGAAUUAUGAGAGAAGGGAAGACCUGCUUACCCAAUGAAGGUCAGCUGACCAGUGAUGACAAAUUAGCAGGGAGUUGUUAAUGUGCUUGCAUGACCCAUGACUCCUUAGCAAAAUGUUUAUCUCAGACAUAAAAGCCUAAGCUAGUGGGAUAUUCACAGAUCAUUAGGAAUGAUGAAAAACCUGUCUGACCCCAACUGAGCCUGGACUUAAGAACCCAUUGACUAUGGGAGGUAAUCGUGAAUUAGUUUAUCAAAUAAAACUGAUAUGUUGUUAAGAGAGUCCUCACUAGUAUGGUGCCACCCAGGAAAAGAUGAUGUCGAACAAAGUAGUAUAGUAAGAUGAGAAUUAUUUAGUAAGUUUCCUCUGAAUUCCUUUCUAUUUAAAAUAUUUUUUUUUCUUGCACUGCGUGGUAUCUGGAUUCAGUAGUUUAUUCCUGCUGGGUGUUCAAAAGACAUUACAAUAUAAAUUCAGCAUCUGGCAUCGUUGGUUUUCUUGGCAUGUUAAACCUAGUAUUUUUAUUGACACAAUAUUAAGAAAAAAAGUUUUUUUUUUCCAUCAGCCAUUAGGAAUUAUUCCCUUGGCAAUAACAAAUGAGAGAUUAGUGCUUGUAGGGUGUGUAUACACAUUGAGCUUGUAACCCAAUUUAAUUGAACAAGUAUAUUCAAACAGAACAUAUAGCAUGAUGUUAUUUCACCUUCUAUUCACUUGUAGCAACCAUUUUCCAAGUCACUUUUUAGUAAAAUGAACAUAAUCAUUGAAAUGAUAACUAAGUAGAUGGUUGAGUUUUAUUUUAGUUAACAUACGACUGCUCUAAACAGCCUCUGAGAUCUUAAGGCAAAACCCCACAAAUGGUGACUUAUGUUCUCUACUGGUCUGCUUAUUUCUUACCAGGUUUGGUAAUCUGGUGUCACAUAUCUUGUAGAGUUGAAAGAGCGAUCUAAGAACAGGUUGAAGGAAGAGGACACGUGAAGGGGUAAAAGUUAGAUGGGCAGUGAUGAGUGUGUUGGGAAAUAAUUUGCUGUCAUCCUGGCAACAAAGACCAAAAACUCUGAGGCAGUUGUCUACCUAUAUUGGCUAUUCUGCAGGUAUCGUAAGAAGUGAUCACAACUAUCAGAGAGUUACAGUUAGGGAUUGGAAUGAAAGGGGCUAAACAUCUACCCUGACCUACCUUCUAAGCCUCCAAGCUACUAUUCUUGUCAAGUGGUCUUCUUGGCUGUGUUUUAAUACCCAUGGGGAAUGGUUUUGUGUUCUAGUCUGGCUCAGUUUGCCAUCUGUGUUUACAUCCAAAUUGAGAAAAAGGAAGACAGGAUUGAGGGUAGAAUCCACUGGCAAACUGGAAGAAACAUCUACUCAGGACGACACUCCUCCAACUCAACACACAUUCAUACUGCCUCAUAUUCCUGCUCCGUUUUCCUGUCCUGCAGGUCCUUUUUCCCCAGCCACCUCUCCCAUCACCUCAGGAGCUCUGACUUGGCCAUCACUGUGACUUAGAGGCUGAGAAGGUUCUGGCUACUGAGGAGGAGGCAUUAGAAGCUGUUGCCCUCCCUCCCCUGAAGCACUCAAAAGUUAAAGAAAAAAGUGUUGGAGAACAAUGGCUAAAGAGCAUUAGAUAAAUAAAUUGCCUUUGUGUGCUUUCUUGAAAACCCAGCACGUAAGUGAUUGUUUCCAGUAGAAACGUUUGCAUUCCAAUCAACUUAACAUCUGAAAUGCAACGGGGAAUAAAUUGGAAACAGCCUUAUUGAUGUCACAAUACAAUGAUAAAAGUUCCACUUCUCCACAGCACCUUUAAAAAAGUGUUUAGAUGUUUCAGAAUAACAUUUUUCUUGCAAAAAGCCAGUACAUUCUCCUCAUCUCAUGCACACACAUAUCAGAUAAGCAAAAAUAAUACCAGAAAGCUCAGAUUUAGAAAAACUCCUAAAUUAGAAUUUGAUUUAAAAAAAUUGAGUUAAUCACUCAGUAUUAUUAAGUUGGUGUUCAUUUUUACA